CCUACGGGAGGCAGCAGUGGGGAAUAUUGCACAAUGGGGGAAACCCUGAUGCCGCGACGCCGCGUGAGUGAAGAAGUCUUUCGGUACGUAAAGCUCUAUCAGCAGGGAAGAAAAUGACAGUACCUGACUAAGAAGCCCCGGCUAACUACGUGCCAGCAGCCGCGGUAAUACGUAGGGGGCAAGCGUUAUCCGGAUUUACUGGGUGUAAAGGGAGCGUAGACGGCAGCGCAAGUCUGGAGUGAAAUCCCAUGGCUUAACCAUGGAACUGCUUUGGAAACUGUGCAGCGAGAGUGCAGGAGAGGUAAGCGGAAGUCCUAGUGUAGCGGUGAAAUGCGUAGAUAUUAGGAGGAACACCAGUGGCGAAGGCGGCUUACUGGACUGUAACUGACGUUGAGGCUCGAAAGCGUGGGGAGCAAACAGGAUUAGAUACCCUAGUAGUC
Molecule: ribosomal RNA, 440 nt
Filed under: uncultured bacterium
Lineage: Bacteria
Description: partial 16S ribosomal RNA
Rfam family: Bacterial small subunit ribosomal RNA
Source: RNAcentral